This 2011-nucleotide ribosomal RNA is filed under the name marine metagenome. RNAcentral describes it as "bacterial LSU rRNA". It matches the Rfam family "Bacterial large subunit ribosomal RNA", at positions 3 to 2075 of the family's 2925-position model. The record is from RNAcentral.
UCAAGAAAUUAAGGGCUUAUGGUGGAUACCUUGGCAUUCAGAAGCGAUGAAGGACGCGGUUACCUGCGAUAAGCUUCGGGGAGCUGGAAACAAGCUUUGAUCCGGAGGUUUCCGAAUGAGGCAACUCCAAGAACUUCUUAUUGAAUAUAUAGAUAAGAAAGAGCAAACCCAGGGAAUUGAAACAUCUUAGUACCUGGAGGAAAAGAAAGUAAAAACGAUUCCCUUAGUAGCGGCGAGCGAAAUGGGAACAGCCUAAACUAAUCAAUGAUUAGGGUUGUGGGACAGUGGUUUCGGAUAGGAUUAGUUAGAUGAAGUGUUUGGAAUGACACACCAAAGAGAGUGAAAGUCUCGUAAUCGAAAACUAUGAAUACUGUACUGUAUCCCGAGUAGCAUGGGGCACGUGAAAUUCCGUGUGAAUCUGCGAGGACCACCUCGUAAGGCUAAAUAUUCCUGAAUGACCGAUAGUGAAACAGUACCGCGAGGGAAAGGUGAAAAGAACCCCGGGAGGGGAGUGAAAAGAACAUGAAACCAUAAGCUUACAAGCAGUAGGAGAACGACUUAACGUUUGACUACGUUCCUGUUGAAGAAUGAGCCGGCGACUUAUAGGUAAUGGCUUGGUUAAGGUAGUAAAUACCGGAGCCACAGCGAAAGCGAGUCUGAACAGGGCAUUUGUCAUUAUUUAUAGACCCGAACCCGGAUGAUCUAACCAUGGCCAGGUUGAAGCUUAGGUGAUACUAAGUGGAGGACCCAACCGACUGAUGUUGAAAAAUCACCGGAUGAGUUGUGGUUAGGGGUGAAAUGCCAAUCGAAUCCGGAGCUAGCUGGUUCUCCUCGAAAUGCGUUUUGGCGCAGCGGUUAGUGUUAUAAUUUAGGGGUAAAGCACUGUUUCGGUGCGGGCUGGUAAAACGGUACCAAAUCGAGGCAAACUAAGAAUACUAAAUGAAUAACUAACCAGUAAGACUGUGGGGGAUAAGCUUCAUUGUCAAGAGGGAAACAGCCCAGACCACCAGCUAAGGCCCCUAAAUAAUUGCUAAGUGAUAAAGGAGGUGGGAAUGCUUAGACAACCAGGAGGUUUGCUUAGAAGCAGCAACCCUUUAAAGAGUGCGUAAUAGCUCACUGGUCGAGUAGGCCUGCGCCGAAAAUGAACGGGGCUAAGUAAUUUGCCGAAGCUGUGGGAUACAUAUUGUAUCGGUAGAGGAGCGUUCUGUUGUAGGUUGAAGCAUUAGCGAAAGCGGAUGUGGACGAAGCAGAAGUGAGAAUGUCGGCUUGAGUAGCGAAAACAUUGGUGAGAAUCCAAUGCCCCGAAAACCUAAGGUUUCCUUCGGAAGGCUCGUCCGCGGAGGGUAAGUCAGGACCUAAGGCGAGGCCGAGAGGCGUAGUCGAUGGACAACAGGUUAAUAUUCCUGUACUAUUUUUUACUGACAACGAGGGACGGAGAAGGCUAGGCUAGCCGGAUGUUGGUUACCGGUUUAAGCGUUCGAGGUGUUGAGAAGUAGAGAAAAUACUUUGAGCUGAGGCGUGAGUACGAGAUGCUACGGCAUUUAAGUAGUUGAUGUCAUACUUCCAAGAAAAGCUUGCACUGUCAUAAGUAAAAAAUACCUGUACUCUAAACCGACACAGGUGGGUAAGUAGAGAAUACUAAGGGGCGCGAGAUAACUCUCUCUAAGGAACUCGGCAAAAUAACCCCGUAACUUUGGGAGAAGGGGUACCUUGAGAAAGGUUGCAAUAACCAGGUCCAAGCGACUGUUUACCAAAAACACAGGUCUCCGCUAAGUCGUAAGACGACGUAUGGGGGCUGACGCCUGCCCAGUGCCGGAAGGUUAAAGAAGUUGGUUCAAUGCUGAUAACUGAAGCCCCGGUGAACGGCGGCCGUAACUAUAACGGUCCUAAGGUAGCGAAAUUCCUUGUCGGGUAAGUUCCGACCCGCACGAAAGGCGUAACGAUUUGGACACUGUCUCGGAGAGAGACUCGGUGAAAUAGACUUGUCUGUGAAGAUGCGGACUACCUGCAC